CCCUUAGAUGUUCUGGGCCGCACGCGCGCUACACUGACGAAUGCAACGAGCUUAUAACCUUGGCCGACAGGCUCGGGCAAUCUUUGAACGCUGGUCGUGAUGGGGAUAGACUUUUGCAAUUUUUGGUCUUCAACGAGGAAUUCCUAGUAAACGCAAGUCAUCAACUUGCAUUGAUUACGUCCCUGCCCUUUGUACACACCGCCCGUCGCACCUACCGAUUGAAUGGUCCGGUGAAGCCUCCGGAUUGGCGCGCACCUCGGUGCCGCCGAGAAGUUGGCUAAACCUUACCAUUUAGAGGAAGGUGAAGUCGUAACA
This 315-nucleotide ribosomal RNA is filed under the name uncultured eukaryote. RNAcentral's name for it is "partial 18S ribosomal RNA". It matches the Rfam family "Eukaryotic small subunit ribosomal RNA", at positions 1470 to 1796 of the family's 1831-position model. The record is from RNAcentral.